RNAcentral lists this ribosomal RNA (1550 nucleotides) under Klebsiella variicola. RNAcentral's name for it is "bacterial SSU rRNA". It matches the Rfam family "Bacterial small subunit ribosomal RNA". The record is from RNAcentral. Lineage: Bacteria; Pseudomonadati; Pseudomonadota; Gammaproteobacteria; Enterobacterales; Enterobacteriaceae.
AAAUUGAAGAGUUUGAUCAUGGCUCAGAUUGAACGCUGGCGGCAGGCCUAACACAUGCAAGUCGAGCGGUAGCACAGAGAGCUUGCUCUCGGGUGACGAGCGGCGGACGGGUGAGUAAUGUCUGGGAAACUGCCUGAUGGAGGGGGAUAACUACUGGAAACGGUAGCUAAUACCGCAUAAUGUCGCAAGACCAAAGUGGGGGACCUUCGGGCCUCAUGCCAUCAGAUGUGCCCAGAUGGGAUUAGCUAGUAGGUGGGGUAACGGCUCACCUAGGCGACGAUCCCUAGCUGGUCUGAGAGGAUGACCAGCCACACUGGAACUGAGACACGGUCCAGACUCCUACGGGAGGCAGCAGUGGGGAAUAUUGCACAAUGGGCGCAAGCCUGAUGCAGCCAUGCCGCGUGUGUGAAGAAGGCCUUCGGGUUGUAAAGCACUUUCAGCGGGGAGGAAGGCGGUGAGGUUAAUAACCUCACCGAUUGACGUUACCCGCAGAAGAAGCACCGGCUAACUCCGUGCCAGCAGCCGCGGUAAUACGGAGGGUGCAAGCGUUAAUCGGAAUUACUGGGCGUAAAGCGCACGCAGGCGGUCUGUCAAGUCGGAUGUGAAAUCCCCGGGCUCAACCUGGGAACUGCAUUCGAAACUGGCAGGCUAGAGUCUUGUAGAGGGGGGUAGAAUUCCAGGUGUAGCGGUGAAAUGCGUAGAGAUCUGGAGGAAUACCGGUGGCGAAGGCGGCCCCCUGGACAAAGACUGACGCUCAGGUGCGAAAGCGUGGGGAGCAAACAGGAUUAGAUACCCUGGUAGUCCACGCUGUAAACGAUGUCGAUUUGGAGGUUGUGCCCUUGAGGCGUGGCUUCCGGAGCUAACGCGUUAAAUCGACCGCCUGGGGAGUACGGCCGCAAGGUUAAAACUCAAAUGAAUUGACGGGGGCCCGCACAAGCGGUGGAGCAUGUGGUUUAAUUCGAUGCAACGCGAAGAACCUUACCUGGUCUUGACAUCCACAGAACUUUCCAGAGAUGGAUUGGUGCCUUCGGGAACUGUGAGACAGGUGCUGCAUGGCUGUCGUCAGCUCGUGUUGUGAAAUGUUGGGUUAAGUCCCGCAACGAGCGCAACCCUUAUCCUUUGUUGCCAGCGGUCCGGCCGGGAACUCAAAGGAGACUGCCAGUGAUAAACUGGAGGAAGGUGGGGAUGACGUCAAGUCAUCAUGGCCCUUACGACCAGGGCUACACACGUGCUACAAUGGCAUAUACAAAGAGAAGCGACCUCGCGAGAGCAAGCGGACCUCAUAAAGUAUGUCGUAGUCCGGAUUGGAGUCUGCAACUCGACUCCAUGAAGUCGGAAUCGCUAGUAAUCGUAGAUCAGAAUGCUACGGUGAAUACGUUCCCGGGCCUUGUACACACCGCCCGUCACACCAUGGGAGUGGGUUGCAAAAGAAGUAGGUAGCUUAACCUUCGGGAGGGCGCUUACCACUUUGUGAUUCAUGACUGGGGUGAAGUCGUAACAAGGUAACCGUAGGGGAACCUGCGGUUGGAUCACCUCCUUACCUUAAAGAA